UGGGGAAUUUUGGACAAUGGGCGAAAGCCUGAUCCAGCAAUGCCGCGUGUGUGAAGAAGGCCUUCGGGUUGUAAAGCACUUUUGUCCGGAAAGAAAUCCUUGGCUCUAAUACAGUCGGGGGAUGACGGUACCGGAAGAAUAAGCACCGGCUAACUACGUGCCAGCAGCCGCGGUAAUACGUAGGGUGCAAGCGUUAAUCGGAAUUACUGGGCGUAAAGCGUGCGCAGGCGGUUUGCUAAGACCGAUGUGAAAUCCCCGGGCUCAACCUGGGAACUGCAUUGGUGACUGGCAGGCUAGAGUAUGGCAGAGGGGGGUAGAAUUCCACGUGUAGCAGUGAAAUGCGUAGAGAUGUGGAGGAAUACCGAUGGCGAAGGCAGCCCCCUGGGCCAAUACUGACGCUCAUGCACGAAAGCGUGGGGAGCAAACAGGAUUAGAUACCCUGGUAGUCCACGCCCUAAACGAUGUCAACUAGUUGUUGGGGAUUCAUUUCCUAGUAACGUAGCUAACGCGUGAAGUUGACCGCCUGGGGAGUACGGUCGCAAGAUUAAAACUCAAAUGGAAUUGACGGGGU
RNAcentral lists this ribosomal RNA (571 nucleotides) under uncultured bacterium. Its description in RNAcentral is "partial 16S ribosomal RNA". It matches the Rfam family "Bacterial small subunit ribosomal RNA", at positions 355 to 919 of the family's 1533-position model. The record is from RNAcentral.